GUGGUUGAGUCGCGCCGGAAGGUCGGGGCUGGGGGAGCCGCCGUUGGCUCUGAUGCCCCUGGGGGUGGGGGCACGAGUGGGCAGGGUGAUGGUGAGGCAGACGUGGCGGCCCCGACCCGGCGACCUCGAGGGAGCGCCCGGCUGAGAGGCGGGGGGCCGAGGGGCCCAGGGAGCGGGCGCCGCCGAGGGCCCUGGAAGCGGCAGGGCUGGGGGAGAGGGGACGCGUGUGUGGGGCACGGGGACCCCAGCCCAGCUCCCACUUGCAGACCUGGGCCGCGGGCUGCCGGCCGAGUGGCCGGGGGGCCUGGCUGCCCAGGAGACGGGCCGGGGCCGCGGCCGGGGGCGCGGAGCGGACACAGGGGCGCCCGGCCGAGCCGAGGUGGGACGGACCGACGCAGAGAGGAAGGGAAGCCGCCUGGCCUGAAGAUCCCGUCUCUAAGAUCCCAUUCUGAGGAGACUCAGGUCAGAAUGGAGAUGGGCUGCAGACAGGGCAGCUAUUGUCAGCUGCUGGAACUGGCUUCAGGCUCAUGUUUCUGACUUGGAAUAUCGAAUUCGUCAGCAAACAGACGUUUACAAACAGAUAUGUGCUAAUAAGGUGCCAGAAGCCCAGGAAGCACAUAUCAAGGCUCACUUGCCAGCGAGGUGCUGCCAAUAGAAUGUAGUCACGUGGAAUUUUGGAAUGUGGAAAGGAGGUAGAAGUCAUCCUUUCCUCCCCCGUAGCAGCAGGCGUGCAGGCUCUGGUGGUCAGCUGGACUCCAUACUCCCCCACCAGUCACCAGCCUGGGGACUGUGGGGACUGCAAGGACCUCAGCAGCGGUUUCCCAAGUUUCCUGACUUCUUCCGUCCUCUGGAAAUCAGCUGUGGUAAAGUAGCCUGAAAGCCAGUGGUGCAACCCCCUCCCCCCAACCUUCACCACCUCUAGCCCCUCCAAUGAUAAGCACUAAUUACCUAUAUACAACCCCUUAUUGUUUGAAAUAUCUCGAGUAAUUUCUGUUUUCCUAUCUGGGGUAGUGGAACAUAAGAAGAAAUAUACAUUUGGUCUCUGCCCACAGUUCCUAACACAAAGCUCCUAAAACCCUUGGAAACUCCUGAAUGAUGGUGGUGCUGGGCAUUGUCUUCCUUUCUUAAAAAAUUUAUCAUUUUUCUUUUCU
Molecule: long non-coding RNA, 1151 nt
Organism: Symphalangus syndactylus (siamang)
Lineage: Eukaryota; Metazoa; Chordata; Mammalia; Primates; Hylobatidae
Source: RefSeq, a predicted model, not a curated record